Molecule: small nucleolar RNA, 144 nt
Organism: Acomys russatus (golden spiny mouse)
Lineage: Eukaryota; Metazoa; Chordata; Mammalia; Rodentia; Muridae
Product: small nucleolar RNA SNORA48
Exons: 1
Source: RefSeq, a predicted model, not a curated record
UCCCCUUGGCAAUGGGCAAAGAGACACCUUGUUGGUGAUGCUGUUCUUGUAACAGUCAGGGGCAGAACAGAUGACAGUCUUUUGUUCAUCCUACCUCGAUGCCUGGGUUGAGGACCAAAACUCUUUUAUACCUAGGAGUCAUAA